CAGCACCUCAAGUGGUCAGGAUGAUUAUUGGGCCUAAAGCAUCCGUAGCCGGCGCUGUAAGUUUUCGGUUAAAUCUGUACGCUCAACGUACAGGCUGCCGGGAAUACUGCAGCGCUAGGGAGUGGGAGAGGUAGACGGUACUCGGUAGGAAGGGGUAAAAUCCUUUGAUCUAUUGAUGACCACCUGUGGCGAAGGCUGCUGACUAGAACACGUCUGACGGUCAGGGACGAAAGCUGGGGUAGCGAACCGGAUUAGAUACCCGAGUAGUCC
RNAcentral lists this ribosomal RNA (270 nucleotides) under uncultured archaeon. RNAcentral describes it as "partial 16S ribosomal RNA". It matches the Rfam family "Archaeal small subunit ribosomal RNA", at positions 477 to 747 of the family's 1478-position model. The record is from RNAcentral.